Molecule: transfer RNA, 70 nt
Filed under: Etroplus suratensis
Lineage: Eukaryota; Metazoa; Chordata; Actinopteri; Cichliformes; Cichlidae
Description: tRNA-Pro
Rfam family: tRNA
About the family: Transfer RNA (tRNA) molecules are approximately 80 nucleotides in length. Their secondary structure includes four short double-helical elements and three loops (D, anti-codon, and T loops). Further hydrogen bonds mediate the characteristic L-shaped molecular structure. tRNAs have two regions of fundamental functional importance: the anti-codon, which is responsible for specific mRNA codon recognition, and the 3' end, to which the tRNAs corresponding amino acid is attached (by aminoacyl-tRNA synthetases). tRNAs cope with the degeneracy of the genetic code in two manners: having more than one tRNA (with a specific anti-codon) for a particular amino acid; and 'wobble' base-pairing, i.e. permitting non-standard base-pairing at the 3rd anti-codon position.
Source: RNAcentral
CAAGAAAUAGUUUAGCUUAGAAUCCUAGCUUUGGGAGUUAGGGGCGGGGGUUAAAAUCCCCCUUUCUUGA